UCAGUGAAGGGGGGACGGAGAAGGUUAUGCUAGCUUGGCGUUGGUUGUCCAAGUGAAAGUGCGUAGGGUUGAAUUUUAGGAAAAUCCGGAAUUCUACAUGCCUGAGACACGAGACGAGACACUACGGUGUUGAAGUAGCAAAUACCCUGCUUCCAGGAAAAGCCUCUAAACUUAUGAUAUAGCGAACCGUACCCCAAACCGACACAGGUGGUCAGGUAGAGAAUACCAAGGCGCUUGAGAGAACUCGGGUAAAGGAACUAGGCAAAAUGGUGCCGUAACUUCGGGAGAAGGCACGCUGGUGGUAGGUGAGACCCCUUGCGGGUGGAGCUGACGCCAGUCGAAGAUACCAGGCCCCUGCGACUGUUUAUUAAAAACACAGCACUCUGCAAACGCGUAAGCGGACGUAUAGGGUGUGACGCCUGCCCGGUGCCGGAAGGUUAAUUGAUGGGGUUAGCAUUCGUGCGAAGCUCUUGAUCGAAGCCCC
This 484-nucleotide ribosomal RNA is filed under the name Skeletonema marinoi. RNAcentral describes it as "partial Bacterial large subunit ribosomal RNA". It matches the Rfam family "Bacterial large subunit ribosomal RNA", at positions 1458 to 1921 of the family's 2925-position model. The record is from RNAcentral. Lineage: Eukaryota; Bacillariophyta; Thalassiosirophyceae; Thalassiosirales; Thalassiosiraceae.